This 111-nucleotide small nuclear RNA is filed under the name Suricata suricatta (meerkat). Its description in RNAcentral is "U2 spliceosomal RNA (ENSSSUG00005010030.1)". It matches the Rfam family "U2 spliceosomal RNA", at positions 1 to 135 of the family's 192-position model. Rfam says of the family: U2 is a small nuclear RNA (snRNA) component of the spliceosome (involved in pre-mRNA splicing). Lineage: Eukaryota; Metazoa; Chordata; Mammalia; Carnivora; Herpestidae. The record is from Rfam by way of RNAcentral.
AUCGCUUCUCGGCCUUUUGGCUAAGAUCAAGUGUAGUAUAAAAACUAACAGAGCGGCCAUAUUUGUCAUAAUUUGGAAUUUUUAACUUACACAGAUAAAUUAGGAUUCCUU